AGAAAUAACAGCAAUAACAGCAGCCUUUUCGCAAGAACUCUCCGUCUGGCAUAUGCUUGAUCAUCCAAAUGUAACCAAGGUAAUCUUUGACUUGACACGUUAUUGUGUUUCCGUCAAUUUAAUUUUGUUAAUCUUUUUCGCUUGUUGACAUACAUCACUGUUGCAUUUAUCAAUUCUUGAAAAAAUGAUGAUAAAAAUGAAACGAAUCUUCAGUGUUGGGACUGAUGACCGAUACUUGCUGCCUAAGGCAAUACAAGCGCAUUGCAGCGAUGAAAUUGUUAACUGUCCCUGUAUAAACAUUAGCUUCCUUAAUCAGGCCUCUAACAAGUUAAGAAGUUUUUAGUAAGUUCUGUGUAAGCCACUAGAAUAGAAGCUGUGGUACAUUGUCUGCUUAGACAAAAUAUUAGUUCUCACUCACAUAUAUCAAAUGUUUUCACCUCUCACUUGUCAUGUUGUAAUGAUGGAACCAGGGCUGCUGCACCUCUCACUUGUCAGUAAGAUUUAUAUCUUUUGUACAAUUAUUAUAUCAGACACUGAAAGGUAGAAACAUAACAUCUGGAUUAGGACCUGAAUGUUGCUAGUGGUAGUAACUAUUGACAAAUCUAUAUCUUUGUUGUGUCGUGUGGGAUCAGAUGUUUUUCAUGAUUUUUCAACACUGCAAUUGGCCAGUUGUGCUGCUGCUGCCCCUGUUGUUGAGUAGAUUUGUUAAAUCACCCCACCCAUGUAUUCAGACUUGUCUAAACACCAUACGGUGCCAAGAAUUCAAGUUAAUUUGUUUGUUGUCAUGUUUUGAGAAAUUGCCGGUGAACUGAACUGGACAUCUGCCAAAAACAGCAUCCGACCUUCAUACAGUGGGUACAAUAUAUGUUCAGCUGACAUGCGGAAUUUUGCACUUUAUUUUUCUUAUUUCAGGGGGAGAGGAAAAUGCCAAUGCUUAUCGGGAUUGUAGUAGUAUUCACCAUUCACGUGUUUGGAGUCUACUGGUGGUACAGGAUACAGGAAUGAUGACCUUGUUAGACCUUUGGUGAUGCUUCCUCCAAAAGAAAUACCACCAUUCUGGCAUGCUAUAUUUUUCAUUGUGGUGAAUGGUAUUCUCUUUUCCCACACAGCAUGAUUUCCUCCAAAAGAAAAUUAUUUGUCUUGAAGUCCACUUCCUGCCCCUUGCCCUGUUUUACGUCGAAUAUCUCAAGCGACAAAAUUUAGUACUUUUUGGUGUUGAUCUCAAGUGCUGGCUCCUACAGCAUUGCAUUUCACCAAGUGAAAUGCUACAUUUCUACUCCUAACCCAUUCUCUCUUUCUUAGUGUUUUUGUUAUGCAGGUUGGAAGAAAAGAAGAAGAUCCAGAGAAGAUCUUAGUAAUAAGAUACUCCCUCCGUUCCUAAAUAUAAGUCUUUUUAGACAUUUCAAAUGGACUACAACAUACAUCCGUAUAUAGACAUAUUUUAGAGUGUAGAUUCAUUCAUUUUGCUCCGUAUGUAGUCACUUGUUGAAAUCUUUAGAAAGACUUAUAUUUAGGAACGGAGGGAGUAGUUUUUAGGAAAAUAGAUAUUUAGUUUUAGGUCAUUUCUUGUAAUUUCAGAUAUGGAGUGCUUGUUUUUAGUUUUUGUUUUGUGAAACUUGCUAUCUAUGGAUGAAAUUGUGUAAUAUUGAUGAAACUAUGUAUAUGUAUGGAUGAAACUUGC
Molecule: ribosomal RNA, 1681 nt
Filed under: Triticum aestivum (bread wheat)
Lineage: Eukaryota; Viridiplantae; Streptophyta; Magnoliopsida; Poales; Poaceae
Description: partial small subunit ribosomal RNA
Source: RNAcentral